This 467-nucleotide ribosomal RNA is filed under the name uncultured bacterium. RNAcentral's name for it is "partial 16S ribosomal RNA". It matches the Rfam family "Bacterial small subunit ribosomal RNA", at positions 28 to 507 of the family's 1533-position model. The record is from RNAcentral.
GACGAACGCUGGCGGCGUGCUUAACACAUGCAAGUCGAACGAAAGGCCCUGCUUUUGUGGGGUGCUCGAGUGGCGAACGGGUGAGUAACACGUGAGUAACCUGCCCUUGACUUUGGGAUAACUUCAGGAAACUGGGGCUAAUACCGGAUAGGAGCUCCUGCUGCCUGGUGGGGGGUUGAAAGUUUCGGAGGUUGGGGAUGGACUCGCGGGUUAUCAGCUUGUUGGUGGGGUAGUGGCUUACCAAGGCUUUGACGGGUAGCCGGCCUGAGAGGGUGACCGGCCACAUUGGGACUGAGAUACGGCCCAGACUCCUACGGGAGGCAGCAGUGGGGAAUAUUGCACAAUGGGCGGAAGCCUGAUGCAGCAACGCCGCGUGCGGGAUGACGGCCUUCGGGUUGUAAACCGCUUUCGCCUGUGACGAAGCGUGAGUGACGGUAAUGGGUAAAGAAGCACCGGCUAACUACGUG